AAUGAACGCUGGCGGCAUGGAUUAGGCAUGCAAGUCGAACGUGAUUCUUUUCUUCGGAGAAGAUGAAAGUGGCGAAAGGGUGAGUAACACGUGAGCAACCUGCCCCCGAAUUCGGGAUAGCCCCGGGAAACCGGGAUUAAUACCGGACGUGGUUUUCCGUCGCAUGGCGGAAGGACCGAAGGUCCGCCGUUCGGGGAUGGGCUCGCGUCCCAUUAGCUAGUUGGCGGGGUAACGGCCCACCAAGGCGAUGACGGGUAGCUGGUCUGAGAGGAUGGUCAGCCACACUGGGACUGAGACACUGCCCAGACUCCUACGGGAGGCUG
This 323-nucleotide ribosomal RNA is filed under the name uncultured Lentisphaerota bacterium. RNAcentral describes it as "bacterial SSU rRNA". It matches the Rfam family "Bacterial small subunit ribosomal RNA", at positions 29 to 351 of the family's 1533-position model. Lineage: Bacteria; Pseudomonadati; Lentisphaerota. The record is from RNAcentral.